This 479-nucleotide ribosomal RNA is filed under the name uncultured bacterium. RNAcentral's name for it is "partial 16S ribosomal RNA". It matches the Rfam family "Bacterial small subunit ribosomal RNA", at positions 28 to 507 of the family's 1533-position model. The record is from RNAcentral.
GAUGAACGCUCGCGGGAGGCCUAACACAUGCAAGCCGAGCGGUAGAGUCUCUUCGGAGACUUGAGAGCGGCGCACGGGUGCGGAACACGUGUGCAACCUGCCUUUAUCUGGGGGAUAGCCUUUCGAAGGGAAGAUUAAUACCCCAUAAUAUACUGGAUGGCAUCAUCUGGUAUUGAAAACUCCGGUGGAUAGAGAUGGGCACGCGCAAGAUUAGAUAGUUGGUGAGGUAACGGCUCACCAAGUCAGCGAUCUUUAGGGGGCCUGAGAGGGUGAUCCCCCACACUGGUACUGAGACACGGACCAGACUCCUACGGGAGGCAGCAGUGAGGAAUAUUGGACAAUGGGUGAGAGCCUGAUCCAGCCAUCCCGCGUGAAGGACGACGGCCCUAUGGGUUGUAAACUUCUUUUGUAGAGGGAUAAACCUAGAUACGUGUAUCUAGCUGAAGGUACUAUACGAAUAAGCACCGGCUAACUCCGUG